CUAUGUCUUUGGGUUAUUUAACAUUCUUAUGUAUGUGAGGAACAGAAUUAAAACUAUAAAUGUGACCCCUGCCCCUCCGACAGAACCAUGCGCAGUUAAAAGCAGACAUGCCUGUAAAACUUUCAAAGAAAGCUGAAGAAAAAACUGACAUUAAAAGCUGGCUUGGAAUUGAUUGAUGCACUCUAAUAUUUGAAGUUCACUUGCUGCCCUAUGCUACAAAGCCCGGGGGUUAGUACGAGUGGCUCUCUAAUGAGAGCCUGUGUGAACACUUACUGCUUUAUAGGACUGACUUUCAUCGCUGAGCGGGAACGCUCUCAUGGCUGCUAGACUCCAAAAUCAGAUCUACACAGAAAGCAACACGCUCCAUUUGGCCUCUGAAAGGCGAGUCUAUGGCAAAUUCCACAGGGACAUCCCAUUCGCUGUGAGGAUUGAAGUGACCCACUCAGAAAUCAGCAUGCGAAGCUUUGAGCCUUUCUUCCCCCUGCCACUCUCCUGAGAACAUUAAAUCGUACUUUUCAUUCCCUUCACCAUAGGGGGAAACCCCUUAAUGAUGACAGAGAAAGAAAAAUUCCUCCACUCUGUCCUAUGAUACCAUUCUGCUGUCAAGCAGGCGUCUCACUGGACAGAGAAUCAAACAUGUCUUCCAGCAGGUGGAGUGUUGCUGAAGGUCACACACAGAAACACAACGGCAGCACAUCAGAGGAAGCACAGAUUCCCACAGCAAAUUAAGUCAUCUGUGAAAACUUUUCAUUUAACGGUUAGGGACUAAAUUUAUUGGGGGAGCUUUUCAUGUUGGCCAACAUGUACACUACUUGCAUAUCUACAGCAAACAUGUUCCACAUGGAGAAAAAAGAUCCAGAGUGAUUCACUCUCACUGACUCAGUCUCGAGAUGUGUCUUUUCCCAACUUCCCUAUUCUCUCUUUCUAUCUACAUGAAUCUCUCUCUCAAAUGCUUAUGAAUCAAGUUAAAACCGAUCCACGUUGCUGAAACGGCUGGUCCCUACAGAUUGCAUACAGUGCUGUAUAUGCUGGGCACUGGGUGCUUCAAACAGAGGUGAAAAGAAAC
This 1066-nucleotide long non-coding RNA is filed under the name Lepisosteus oculatus (spotted gar). RNAcentral describes it as "lncRNA (ENSLOCG00000022133.1)". The record is from RNAcentral. Lineage: Eukaryota; Metazoa; Chordata; Actinopteri; Semionotiformes; Lepisosteidae.